This is a long non-coding RNA of Centruroides sculpturatus (bark scorpion), 820 nucleotides long. RefSeq lists it as uncharacterized. The transcript is spliced from 3 exons. The record is from RefSeq and is a predicted model, not a curated record. NCBI's taxonomy places the organism in Eukaryota, Metazoa, Arthropoda, Arachnida, Scorpiones, Buthidae.
AAAUUAGGCAUAUAGAAUACGAAAUGCUCUUAUUGAGUUAGCUGAUAGAGAAAUACCAUCUAGAGAAAGAAUUCAGGUUAGUAUAUAUCUAAAUCGAUUAAAAGGACCGGUUAUUGGAUUAUCUUGUAUGGGAAUUUUUACAGUUACCCCCUAUACCUUAACUGCUGUAUUCAGUCUACUGUUAACUUAUCUGUUGAUGUAUUAUCAGUUUGAACAACAAAAAAGUUAUUCUUCAGAUUCACGGGAAAAUCUAUAAGAAUGAACAAUUAAAAAGUUUCUUUAAUAGUUAUUGUUUUUAGAUAUUUAGUUAAACUUACUAAAAAUCAAAAGACGGGAAAAUAUGAAAGAGAUGAGAACAUGGAAUCUGGCAGAUGACGUUACAAAGAAAGCAAAGGUUAGAAAUUAAUUGAUCAGAAGGCUUUCAAAUGGAAAGACUAUCAAUUCGCUUCCCGUGAAAUAGUAUGCAUAUGUUAUAGCAUAGAAGGAAUAAAUGAGAAUGUGAAUCGUAGAGUUAUAUAACCCAAGUUAUAGUAUGGGAAUGCUCAAGAGAACACGAUCUAAUAGAAGUUAGUGGAUUGUGUAACAGUGGACAUGAAGAGACUGAGUUAAGAGAAAGUGGGAGAAUUGUAUAUAAGAAGAGGCCUCAACUUCUUUUUGACUUUUUAUGUUGUAAUAGUGAACAACCAAAAUAAUGAAUCCGUUGCAACAACCCCUUAAAGUGGGACUAAUAAUGCCGCGAAUAAAAAUAAUAUAUUCUAGUAUCUUAUAAAUAUCAGAAAUUGUGCUUUGAGUUUAUAUAAAUUGUAAAUUUAUAAAUAUU